This 902-nucleotide ribosomal RNA is filed under the name uncultured archaeon. Its description in RNAcentral is "bacterial SSU rRNA". It matches the Rfam family "Archaeal small subunit ribosomal RNA", at positions 5 to 879 of the family's 1478-position model. The record is from RNAcentral.
CGGUUGAUCCUGCCGGACCCUACCGCUAUCGGGAUAGGACUAAGACAUGCUAGUCGUGCGUCUCCCAACGCUAUGAGUUGGAGACGCGGCAGACGGCUCAGUAACAUGUGGCUAACCUGCCCUCAGGACAGGGACAACCCCGGGAAACUGGGGCUAAUCCCUGAUAGGUGUGGAUUCCUGGAAUGGAUCCACACCCAAAAGACGUCCAAAUCAUGCUUUGGACGUCGCCUGAGGAUGGGGCCGCAUCCGAUCAGGUUGUUGGUGAGGUAACGGCUCACCAAGCCUAUAACCGGUACGGGCCGCGAGAGCGGUAGCCCGGAGAUGGACACUGAGACAAGGGUCCAGGCCCUACGGGGCGCAGCAGUCGCGAAAACUCCACAAUGCGCGAAAGCGCGAUGGGGCUAUCCCGAGUGCCGUCCGCUGAGGACGGCUUUUCUCCAGUGUAAGGAGCUGAAGGAAUAAGGAGAGGGCAAGUCUGGUGUCAGCCGCCGCGGUAAUACCAGCUCUCCGAGUGGUAGGGACGUUUAUUGGGCCUAAAGCGUCCGUAGCCGGCUCAGCAAGUCCCCUGUUAAAUCCAACGAUUCAAUCGUUGGACUGCAGGGGAUACUGCUGGGCUAGGGGUCGGGAGAGGCCGACGGUACUCCCGGAGUAGGGGUGAAAUCCUAUAAUUCCGGGAGGACCACCAGUGGCGAAGGCUGUCGGCUAGAACGAGCUCAACGGUGAGGGACGAAAGCUGGGGGAGCGAACCGGAUUAGAUACCCGGGUAGUCCCAGCUGUAAACGAUGCGGGCUAGGUGUUAGAGUGGCUACGAGCCACUCUAGUGCCGCAGCGAAGGCAUUAAGCCCGCCGCCUGGGAAGUACGGCCGCAAGGCUGAAACUUAAAGGAAUUGGCGGGGGAGCAC